Molecule: ribosomal RNA, 429 nt
Filed under: uncultured bacterium
Lineage: Bacteria
Description: bacterial SSU rRNA
Rfam family: Bacterial small subunit ribosomal RNA
Source: RNAcentral
UACGGAAGGCAGCAGUGGGGAAUAUUGGACAAUGGGCGAAAGCCUGAUCCAGCCAUGCCGCAUGAGUGAAGAAGGCCUUCGGGUUGUAAAGCUCUUUUAGUGAGAAAGAUAAUGACGGUACUCACAGAAGAAGUCCUGGCUAACUCCGUGCCAGCAGCCGCGGUAAUACGGAGAGGGCUAGCGUUAUUCGGAAUUACUGGGCGUAAAGGGCACGCAGGCGGUUAAUUAAGUUGGAUGUGAAAUCCCCGGGCUUAACCUGGGAAUGGCAUUCAAGACUGGUUAGCUAGAGUCUUGUAGAGGGGGUAGAAUUCCAUGUGUAGCGGUGAAAUGCGUAGAGAUGUGGAGGAAUACCGGUGGCGAAGGCGGCCCCCUGGACAAAGACUGACGCUCAUGUGCGAAAGCGUGGGGAGCAAACAGGGAUUAGAUACC